RNAcentral lists this ribosomal RNA (228 nucleotides) under uncultured bacterium. RNAcentral's name for it is "partial 16S ribosomal RNA". It matches the Rfam family "Bacterial small subunit ribosomal RNA", at positions 28 to 244 of the family's 1533-position model. The record is from RNAcentral.
GACGAACGCUGGCGGCGUGCUUAACACAUGCAAGUGGAGCGACGAACCAGGCUUCGGCCUGGGGCAGAGCCGCGGACGGGUGAGUAACACGUGGGUAACCUGCCCUGAUGAUCGGGGACAACCCGGGGAACGUACGGCGUAAUACCGAAUGUGCCCGCGAGCCACAAGGCUUGCGAGGAAAGGAAGCUUCGGCCUCCGCAUCGGGAGUGGGCCCGGCCGGCCCAUUAG